Molecule: ribosomal RNA, 253 nt
Filed under: uncultured bacterium
Lineage: Bacteria
Description: partial 16S ribosomal RNA
Rfam family: Bacterial small subunit ribosomal RNA
Source: RNAcentral
UACGAAGGGGGCUAGCGUUGCUCGGAAUUACUGGGCGUAAAGGGCGCGUAGGCGGCACGGCAAGUCAGGAGUGAAAGGCCUGGGCUCAACCGAGGAACUGCUUUUGAGACUGCCGAGCUAGAGUGCAGAAGGGGCAACUGGAAUUCCCAGUGUAGCGGUGAAAUGCGUAGAUAUUGGGAAGAACACCUGAGGCGAAGGCGGGUUGCUGGGCUGACACUGACGCUGAGGCGCGAAAGCCAGGGGAGCAAACGGG